RNAcentral lists this long non-coding RNA (2854 nucleotides) under Ricinus communis (castor bean). RNAcentral's name for it is "long non-coding RNA (RCOM_LNC002207)". Lineage: Eukaryota; Viridiplantae; Streptophyta; Magnoliopsida; Malpighiales; Euphorbiaceae. The record is from RNAcentral.
ACCAAUCCUGUUUGGUGCACUUUACUUGUCAAUGAAUCAAGCGGCGUAGUUUUCCCUCUGUACAUCGUCGAAGAAUUCAUCAAUAACUCUUCCUCUUCUCAGCAUCAGCCUCUCUGCGACUUCUGUAGAUUCGUUGGUAACAUAUAAAAAUGAUUUCUUCAUUCUAUUAUGAAUUUCCUGCGAUUGCCUUUUAUUAUUAUCAGGAUUUGGGGGGUAUUGAUUUUUAAUUUCUUUUUAAUAGGAUGGAGUCACCAUUUUGUUUCUAAAAGAAACUAUCAUCUAAUAGUUCCUGAUGAUGAUAAAUGGAACAAGCCUUUAAAGAAAGAUUCACUUAAGCAAGAAAACCAUUUAUUACACGGUGUUAUUCACUGCAAUGGUUUUGGUCAUUUGCUCUGCAUCGAGAUUGAAUCUAAUUCAAAUUAUCUCAACGGAGAAGACCUCAUGAGCCUCUGGGAUCAUCUCUGUGCAUGUCUCAAAACCCGGUACAGUAAAAUUUUUCUUUAAUUAGUUACCUUCACAAUCAGACUUCCCGUUCUCUCUUUCUCUCUUUUUUCUAUUUUGGUUAAUUGGGCUCCUACUGUGGCUUGAACUUGAUAAUUCAUAGCCCUGGCUAAAGUAUAGAGUUCAUUUUUUAAUUUUAACAUUUUGAUUGGUGUUGCAGUGACAUUUCAGUGCAUGAUUUGUCAAAGAAGGGAUCUAUGGACUUGAGAUUGCUUAAUGGAGUUGCAUAUGGGCGUUCUUGGUUUGGUAAAUGGGGCUAUAAGCUAUGUCGUGGAAGUUUUGGAGUUAGAAAGCACGAAUACAAUAGAGCUAUUGAAAUUCUUAGUUCAUUAGAGCUUAGUAAGAUUACUACUGAUUUUAGUAAAAGAAAACAAGGAAAAUUGAUUGGACAAAUUGUUCAAACUUAUAGUGAUAUUAGUGAGACCCAGUUGGUUACUAUUAGUGACUUGCUUUAUUUUAUGCUUGCUUUCGAGUCUAAACCUCUUAUUCAAAGGAAAACAGCCCUUGCAUUGGCUUCAUUUUCAUCCAAAUCAUCAAGAGAUCAAACAACCAAUCAACCCAAAGCUUCUUUGCCCAGCUAUCCAAGUGAUUAUAAGUCACUUGCUUCUUUUGUUGCUAAACUGGAUGCCAGAUGGCCUGAAAGAAGACUUGAGCGGGUAGUGGAAGUGAUUUUUCAAAUUUUGCAAAUACAUGGAGCUAGGAUGCUUCGCCAAGACUUAAGAGACGCAGUUAGACAACAUAUUGGUGACACUGGUUUGAUUGAUUUUGUUCUUAAGCAUAUUGAUAAGGUUAUUGUGGGAAAUCAAGUUAUUGUUCGUGCAAACAAGCCAGUUAGCAAGUUGUUAGAAUUUUCACUUGAAGAUAUUUCUGAUGGAGCUACACUCGAAAAGAAAGCACAAUCACACACUGAUAUUUCAACUUUAAAACUAGGACUAAAUGUUCGAAAAGAUUUACUCUUCUUGUACAAGAAUGUUUUAUUGGGCUACCCUGAUUAUCAUGCUGUUGCUAUAGCUGCUAGAGUGAUCUUAGACUGUAAGCAUUUUUUUAAGGAGUGGCAAUAUAAGAGCAGUAAUGAGGAUGCAUUACUGACGCUAAUUUGCCAGGUAAGGCCAAGUUAUGAUGAAUUGGCAAAUGAGCUAACUUGGCCACUGCCACCAGGUGAACCAGUGAUGGCUCCGGAAUGUGCAACAGUUUUUGAGCUUAAAUUGACAGUGCAAUGUGCAUUAAGGGACACAUAUUGUGUAAUGGACAAUUUUGUAGUCAAUGAUAUAGAAAUUGGGGGAUUAGUGGCAAGAGAGGAGGGCCAAGAUUUGCUCAAGUGUGGGCUGGAGGAUGGUAUGAAGGUUUGGGUGAGGGGGUCUGGUCUGGACUUAGAUACAAAGUUGAGAUAUCAGGGUGGGGAUAAUGAUUGGACUGUGGAUUGUAAGUGUGGGGCAAAGGAUGAUGAUGGGGAAAGAAUGGUGGCCUGUGAUGCUUGCCAUGUUUGGCAGCAUACUAGGUGUAACAGCAUUAAGGAUGAUGCUUCUCCUCCUACUUUGUUUCUAUGUCGUAUGUGUAAUUGCAGGAUGAAGAAGUCGUCUGCAAGAUGCAUAUCCGCCGAGAAAAACAGAUUUGGCAGGAGGCAUGAUAUUGGGCCUCAAUGAUUCCCAUCUUGUGUUUCAUGCAGCAGAUUUUAUUCGCUCCUUCAAAGACGGCUCUUAUAGCAUUUUAAAACUUUGAACAGUUUAAUGUAUCACAAUUUUAUUAACAGGUGUCUGCAGGUUCUAUCUGAGAUCCUGCAAGAUCUCAGGUUAUAGGAUGCUAAUUUAUUUAAAAAGCUUUGGCACGAAUGCCUGUUGUUAUAUUUGUUUAUAGAAGCAGUUUGUAUCUAGUUACCAGGCUUUUGUAAGGUUAGAAACACAAUUCCCUCUGAGGCAUAACGAUUUGCAGAUACUCUUUAUUAGCUAACAAAUACAUUAUAAUUGCAAGCAAUGACAUAUUAUCCAGAAGAUUAAAUGUUCAAUAAUAGUAAUAGAUAGAAUAUGAUGAAUUUGACCUGGCUUUGUCGGUGGCAACAACACUCGUACCAGCUGGGCCUGGAUGAGAUAGGCAAAUCCAAGCUCAUGAAAACGUGCAAGCUUAAGCUAAUCAGCUGGAAUGUGUAUUCUUGCAUUCCCAUAUAUAUUUGACAAUUUGGACUCCUACUCCUAUACGUUGUUAGCCUGCCCAGCCGAAAAGCCUGAACUCAAGUUUAACCUUGUCCGCUCCUAUUUAUAUUCUUGCUGCUUUCGACUCCUUGUCUUCACCUCGAAACGAAUAAUUCCCAUUUCUAUUUGGCAAUGCUUCUGCUAUUUAUUUAGGCUUAUAAUUCCCA